UCCUCAGUGGCGCAAUUGGCUAGCGCGUUCGGCUGUUAAGCUAUAGCUGUUACCGAGAGGUUGGAAGUUCGAGCCUUCCCUGAGGAG
Molecule: transfer RNA, 87 nt
Filed under: Caulochytrium protostelioides
Lineage: Eukaryota; Fungi; Chytridiomycota; Caulochytriomycetes; Caulochytriales; Caulochytriaceae
Rfam family: tRNA
About the family: Transfer RNA (tRNA) molecules are approximately 80 nucleotides in length. Their secondary structure includes four short double-helical elements and three loops (D, anti-codon, and T loops). Further hydrogen bonds mediate the characteristic L-shaped molecular structure. tRNAs have two regions of fundamental functional importance: the anti-codon, which is responsible for specific mRNA codon recognition, and the 3' end, to which the tRNAs corresponding amino acid is attached (by aminoacyl-tRNA synthetases). tRNAs cope with the degeneracy of the genetic code in two manners: having more than one tRNA (with a specific anti-codon) for a particular amino acid; and 'wobble' base-pairing, i.e. permitting non-standard base-pairing at the 3rd anti-codon position.
Source: Rfam by way of RNAcentral